GACCAAAUAUGGACCAUCGCUAGACCUCACCAAGAUGUAUUACCAAAUGACCCUGUUAAGGAUUUCAUCAUCCCCUUUAGGAGUUAUCUCUCUUUUAUUGAGUUUUUUCAACAUGGCCCCCUCCCCCUCGUUGGUUUUAAAGAUAUCAUGACCUUAAUUGGACAUAAUGUAGAUCUCAUCAUGAUGUAUUACCAUGUGAGGCUGAAUAGGAUUUCAUCGUCCCCUAUGAGAGUUAUAUCCCCUUGAAACAAUUUAUUUUCCUUUGCAUUUUUCUCAAAAAGUAUAAAAGAUAGAAUCGAUUUGAAAACGGCAACAUGUACAGGAACAGAUGGCAAUGUUAAUGAACAUGUACAAUCAUUUUGUUAUUAACCCUUAUAAGGAGUUAUUCCCCUUGAAAAAUUGUACAUAAUUUUAGAAAAAUUGUAUUUCGAGAACCAGAAGUCGUAGAGACUUGGGACCUUCACCAAUAAUCUUUAAUUCAUGUGACCUUUAAUAUGCAGUCAAGGUCAAAGGUCACUGAGUGCAAAAAAAAUUUACGCUGCAAUUUCAAGCUUACAUAUUAGGAAAACGAUAAGACUUUGCUGCAUACAUACAGCGUAUAAAAUGUUCCUCUCGACGAGCUCUACAUUUUAUAUGAUAAGUCCAAAAAUGUCCGACUGUCUGUUCAAAAGUUACAACGGGAUGAUUCUUAAAAGUAUAGUAUUGUGUGUAUAUCUUUUUAAAGGUAACAGAUAUCAACCUACUAUAAACUGCAAAGAUGAUCAGUAAUUCAAGACCGUCAAUUUGAGGUCAAUGUCAGGUCAUGAUGAAAUUUCACCUUGACCUUCACAGUUAUACUAUGACCUUGACCUUGUGAUAUUUGAAAGGUCAAGUGGUCCUGAGUUGAAUGGUGGUAGUCCCAUGUCUCUACGACUUCCGGUUCUCAAGUUUGGUAUUGCAUCAUAUAUUUGAUGAUUAAUUGUGACCUUGGUGAACUUUGAAAUUGUCCCAAUUCUUUUUCUAUAAUGUUGUCCUUUAACUGUAGAUCAUUUACCAUUUAACAGAUUUGAGAUAUCUAUUGUCGUUUUAGAGAUAAUGCAGUUUGAAAUUUUGCGAGCGGCGGCAUGUAUUUCUGAAUCAACAACAGCUUACCACUUAAAAUGUUUAGGAAAUUGAAGAGGUUAACAUAGUUAUAUGUUUGACCAAAUACCAAAAACAUUCCAUUGAAAAAAAACACCAAAAAAAUCAUUUUGAAAUUUUCAUGUUUUGCAUUGACUUUGUAAGUUUCAUAACUUCUAUUUAUAUCGUUGAUAUUGCAUCAUUUUUGGCACUUUGUCAAAUGGGGUCAUCUGAUAUAUCAAAUUGAAGGUCUCAAUAAACUCUACUUAAAAAUGAAAAUUUUAAACCUCUUUUUCAUCCCAGGUGGAAGGGUGGGGUCAUUUAGUGCAAAAAUUCAAAUUUCUCAGAUGGUAAGGUUGUCGCAUAUCAAAUGAAAGAACAUAAAGCGUACAUUUCAAAUUUCAAAUUGACGUCCCCAAAAAAUUGGUUGGAUGGGGUCAUUGAGUGCAAAAAAUAAAUUUCUUUUACGAUAGGGUUGUUGUAUAUCAAAUGAAAGGUCAUGAUGUGUACAUUUGAAAUAUCAAAUUCCCAACCUCCAAAAAUUGGUUGGAUGGGGUUAUUAAGUGCAAAAAUCAAACUUUUUAGAACAUGGCGUUGUCGCAUAUCAAAUGAAAGCUCAUCUACCCUGUGUUACAUAUAUCAUACUUCCGAUCUCAAAAAUGUAGGCGGAUGAGGUCAUUAAGUGUAAAAAGCGAAAAGUUUCAGAAGGUAUGCUUGUCGUAUAUCAAACGAAAGGUCGUACAAAGAACAUUACGAAAACAUCACUUUUACAGGAAAGACCUUUCAAUUGUUUUACAAACAAUUGAGAUACUAGUUUUAUAUU
RNAcentral lists this long non-coding RNA (1921 nucleotides) under Mytilus galloprovincialis (Mediterranean mussel). Lineage: Eukaryota; Metazoa; Mollusca; Bivalvia; Mytilida; Mytilidae. The record is from RNAcentral.